CUUUUUCCAGGGAAGUCACGGCUUCGAACGUUGCGGAUGCCUCUGCCCUCCGUGGGUGUGGAUGUGGGCGUCGAGGGGGGCAUCCACCCAGUUUAGUUCCCAGCCUUGGAAGGAGUUGCUGCCGCACAGUGACUGGAGUAAAACUCAAUUUGCACAGACCGGCAUUCCGGGGUGCCGGUCUCCGGCUUGUUGAUGCUAGAGAGGUAAGUGUGCCUUUGCUCACUGAUGCAGCAUCUCCCAGAAGCACUCAAGCAGCCAGUCAUAUUUAGUGAGGACAGCGGCGGGUUGCGGGGUUGAGUCAGGUACAUGGUGAUGCACCGCCAUCUUGUAAAGCAGGUCUAAGUGCCUCUGUGUACAGAUAUUUUCCAUUGAAGAUGCAGGUAAGAGCGGCAGCUUCCCCAGUAGGGACUGGGAUAACCUCCAUCGGUCCAAAGGGGGAGGUAAUGGGGUCAGCAAGAUGUAGUGUUGUAGAGCCUACGUGAUUCCCCUGGGCAAAGGAGCAGAGCGGCGGCUGUCCACACUACUCGCAGUCCUAGAAACC
Molecule: non-coding RNA, 541 nt
Organism: Pelobates cultripes (western spadefoot toad)
Lineage: Eukaryota; Metazoa; Chordata; Amphibia; Anura; Pelobatidae
Source: the annotation of a GenBank genome assembly